CCUACGGGAGGCAGCAGUGAGGAAUAUUGGGCAAUGGGCGGAAGCCUGAACCAGCCAAGUCGCGUGAGGGAAUAAGGCCCUACGGGUCGUAAACCUCUUUUGCCGGGGAGCAAGGGCGGGGACGUGUCCCGGCCCGGAGAGUACCCGGCGAAAAAGCAUCGGCUAACUCUGUGCCAGCAGCCGCGGUAAUACGGAGGAUGCUAGCGUUAUCCGGAUGUAUUGGGUUUAACGGGUGCGUAGGCGGGCUGUUAAGUCAGCGGGAAACAUUCGGGGCUAAACCCCCUCCGGCCGUUGAAACUGGGGGCCGUGAGUGGGCGAGAAGAAGGCGGAAUGCGUGGUGUAGCGGUGAAAUGCAUAGAUA
This 361-nucleotide ribosomal RNA is filed under the name uncultured bacterium. RNAcentral's name for it is "partial 16S ribosomal RNA". It matches the Rfam family "Bacterial small subunit ribosomal RNA", at positions 338 to 696 of the family's 1533-position model. The record is from RNAcentral.